This 76-nucleotide transfer RNA is filed under the name Dictyobacter arantiisoli. RNAcentral's name for it is "tRNA-Gly". It matches the Rfam family "tRNA". Rfam says of the family: Transfer RNA (tRNA) molecules are approximately 80 nucleotides in length. Their secondary structure includes four short double-helical elements and three loops (D, anti-codon, and T loops). The record is from RNAcentral. Lineage: Bacteria; Bacillati; Chloroflexota; Ktedonobacteria; Ktedonobacterales; Dictyobacteraceae.
GCGGGUUUGGUGUAGUGGCUAACAUGCAACUUUCCCAAAGUUGAGAUCACGGGUUCGAUCCCCGUAACCCGCUCCA